AAAGGAAUUGACGGGGGCCCGCACAAGCGGUGGAGCAUGUGGUUUAAUUCGAUGCAACGCGAAGAACCUUACCAGGCCUUGACAUCCUACGAAUCCUUAGGAAACUAGGGAGUGCCUUCGGGAGCGUAGAGACAGGUGGUGCAUGGUUGUCGUCAGCUCGUGUCGUGAGAUGUUGGGUUAAGUCCCGCAACGAGCGCAACCCUUGCUAUUAGUUGCUAACAGGAGAGCUGAGCACUCUAAUGGGACUGCCCGUGACAAGCGGGAGGAAGGUGGGGAUGACGUCAAAUCAUCAUGCCCUUUAUGGUCUGGGCUACACACGUGCUACAAUGGGCGGUACAGAGAGCAGCGAAGCUGUGAAGUGGAGCGAAUCUCAAAAAGCCGUUCUCAGUUCGGAUUGCAGUCUGCAACUCGACUGCAUGAAGUCGGAAUCGCUAGUAAUCGCGAAUCAGCACGUCGCGGUGAAUCCGUUCCCGGGCCUUGCACACACCGCCCGU
Molecule: ribosomal RNA, 494 nt
Filed under: uncultured bacterium
Lineage: Bacteria
Description: bacterial SSU rRNA
Rfam family: Bacterial small subunit ribosomal RNA
Source: RNAcentral